RNAcentral lists this ribosomal RNA (254 nucleotides) under uncultured bacterium. RNAcentral's name for it is "partial 16S ribosomal RNA". It matches the Rfam family "Bacterial small subunit ribosomal RNA", at positions 524 to 776 of the family's 1533-position model. The record is from RNAcentral.
UACGGGGGGAGCAAGCGUUGUUCGGAUUUACUGGGCGUAAAGGGCGCGUAGGCGGUCAGCACAAGUCAGUUGUGAAAUCUCCGGGCUUAACUCGGAAAGGUCAACUGAUACUGUGCGACUAGAGUGCGGAAGGGGCAACUGGAAUUCUCGGUGUAGCGGUGAAAUGCGUAGAUAUCGAGAGGAACACCUGCGGCGAAAGCGGCUCACUGGACCACAACUGACGCUGAGGCGCGAAAGCUAGGGGAGCAAACAGG